AUUGAACGCUGGCGGCAGGCCUAACACAUGCAAGUCGAGCGAGUGGCGGACGGAUGAGUAAUGUCUGGGAAACGGCCUGAGGGAGGGGGAUCAGUAAUGGAAGCGGUAACUAAUAACGCAUACCUUAGGAUGGGCCGAGGUGGGAUUAGCGUGGUGGUGGGGUAACGGCUCACCAAGGCGACGAUCCCGAGCUGGUCUGAGAGGAUGAACAGCCACACUGGAACUUAGACACGGUCCAUACUCCUACGGGAGGCAGCAGUGGGGAAUAUUGCACAAUGGGCGAAAGCCUGAUGCAGCCAUGCCGCGUGUAUGAAGAAGGCCUUCGGGUUGUAAAGUACUUUCAGUGGGGAGGCGUUACCCGCAGAAGAAGCACCGGCUAACUCCGUGCCAGCAGCCGCGGUAAUAC
RNAcentral lists this ribosomal RNA (406 nucleotides) under uncultured bacterium. RNAcentral describes it as "partial 16S ribosomal RNA". It matches the Rfam family "Bacterial small subunit ribosomal RNA", at positions 29 to 526 of the family's 1533-position model. The record is from RNAcentral.